RNAcentral lists this microRNA (23 nucleotides) under Homo sapiens (human). RNAcentral describes it as "hsa-miR-6728-5p". The record is from miRBase by way of RNAcentral. Lineage: Eukaryota; Metazoa; Chordata; Mammalia; Primates; Hominidae.
UUGGGAUGGUAGGACCAGAGGGG